Molecule: long non-coding RNA, 1061 nt
Filed under: Equus caballus (horse)
Lineage: Eukaryota; Metazoa; Chordata; Mammalia; Perissodactyla; Equidae
Description: lncRNA (ENSECAG00000058342.1)
Source: RNAcentral
AUCAUCACCAUCACCUGGCCAGAAAUGCACUUCACCUGCAGGGAAAUAGCUUUCUCUCACAAUUGCUGAAUGCUGAGAGUCUUCGCUGGAAGCAGUUGUGCCAGCAAAAAUCUCAUCAGAUUGUUUAGCCCGUAAGAACAGAGGAAGAACCUACCCUUGAGACUGAGUUAGACCUCCAGAAACAGAGCCCCAUUUAACAAUUCCUCAUUUGUCCCUGCCCCAGUGAAUUGAUGAGGCUGUGGGUUGUGCUCCAUACGUGUAGGAGAAGCGAAGGGCCUGGGAACCAGGCACCGGGAAGCUGGCAAUCCAUGCAGGAGGUUCCAAGGAGGCUCCCAGGGGCCAGCUCCCGAGCAUGAGUCACACCACCAAGCCAGACCCAGGAAAACAAGGUAAAAAUUUCCCAAGGGGUUUCUACAAGAUUUCCAGCACUUCCUAAAUUAGCCCUGACCAGUAAAACCACGAGAGAAGACUUCCUGGCAGAGCCUGGCACUUCCAUUUCCAGUCCCAACCGAAAGCAGGAAGCAUUGAGACAAGUAAUAAUUCAACUCUUCAGUUGGCUUCCAAAAUUAUCCACAUUCAGGUCACCUGGCAUUCGCACCAAAGUGAGAUGGCAGGACCAGCAGACAAUGCAGCCUUAUGAUUCAAACAGAAGAAACACUCAUCUUGAUUCCUGUGUGCUGUUUGCCAGGAGAGUUAUCACCACUUGCGGGUGCACAAGCAUUGUGAGCUUGGCCAGAGUUCACAGCUCAGUGGAACCCACCAGGCAACCCUACAGCAUUUCCUGUCGUUCCCUUUGCCUCCCAGCUCUGUCCCUGCUGGGGGCCUACUGCUUAGACAUUCUCCAUCUGUGAUUCCUUUGAGUGCAGCUCAGACAUUUCCACACCUUCUUCUCCACAUACACAGAGUGGAGACAGACCCUUCAGAGGCUGGAGGUGGAGACUUCCAACAGAGCCAGCGCAACUCCAUCCUUUCAAAAAUGGAGAAAUGAGGCCUGAGAAGUGAGGUGAAUUGCUGCCUGGAUGCAUUCAUGCCAUCUUCCUAUUAACGAGAGAUGUUACCAA